CAGGCCUAACACAUGCAAGUCGAGCGGUAACACAGGGAGCUUGCUCCCGGGUGACGAGCGGCGGACGGGUGAGUAAUGUCUGGGAAACUGCCUGAUGGAGGGGGAUAACUACUGGAAACGGUAGCUAAUACCGCAUAACGUCGCAAGACCAAAGAGGGGGACCUUCGGGCCUCUUGCCAUCAGAUGUGCCCAGAUGGGAUUAGCUAGUAGGUGGGGUAACGGCUCACCUAGGCGACGAUCCCUAGCUGGUCUGAGAGGAUGACCAGCCACACUGGAACUGAGACACGGUCCAGACUCCUACGGAAGGCAGCAGUGGGGAAUAUUGCACAAUGGGCGCAAGCCUGAUGCAGCCAUGCCGCGUGUAUGAAGAAGGCCUUCGGGUUGUAAAGUACUUUCAGCGGGGAGGAAGGGANUGAGGUUAAUAACCUCAUUCAUUGACGUUACCCGCAGAAGAAUCACGGCUAACUCCGUGCCAGCAGCCGCGGUAAU
This 489-nucleotide ribosomal RNA is filed under the name uncultured bacterium. RNAcentral describes it as "bacterial SSU rRNA". It matches the Rfam family "Bacterial small subunit ribosomal RNA", at positions 43 to 524 of the family's 1533-position model. The record is from RNAcentral.